RNAcentral lists this ribosomal RNA (459 nucleotides) under Triticum aestivum (bread wheat). RNAcentral describes it as "partial small subunit ribosomal RNA". Lineage: Eukaryota; Viridiplantae; Streptophyta; Magnoliopsida; Poales; Poaceae. The record is from RNAcentral.
AUGGCAUCCUCGAGCUCCAAAGUCGUCUGGGACAACCUCGCAUCCGAGCAGAAAAAGGAGAUCGCCACCAUUGCAGCAAGCUGGCAGGCCGGCAGGCAGACGGAGGGGAGCGCCGCAUAUGUCCCAACGGAGGACGCGGCCAAGGACGAGCCGGUGCCACCCUCCUCGUCGUUCCAUGCCGGCACCACCAUGGGCGAGGCUCGUGCUCACUACACCGACAUGUGCACGGAGGAGCUUCUCGCCGCCGGCACGACCAUAGUGUCGGACGCGGACGUGGCCGAGCAGGAGGCGCUGGCCGACUCCUACCGCAUCGCCCGUGAAAUCCGCCGCGACCGCUGGCGGUACAUCCAGAAGAAGGAGUGUGUGGGUGAAAGGAUAAGUGGAGGAGGGCCACCGUGGGCCCACGAGGCAGGGGGCGCACCCAGGGGGGUAGGGCGCACCCUCCACCCUCGUGGUUAG